AGAGCUGUAGCUUAGUGGUAAAGCACAUGACUUGCAUGCAGAAGGUACCGGGUUCAAUCCCCCGAGUCUCUA
Molecule: non-coding RNA, 72 nt
Organism: Podarcis lilfordi (Lilford's wall lizard)
Lineage: Eukaryota; Metazoa; Chordata; Lepidosauria; Squamata; Lacertidae
Source: the annotation of a GenBank genome assembly